CCUACGGGUGGCAGCAGUGAGGAAUAUUGGUCAAUGGGCGCGAGCCUGAACCAGCCAAGUAGCGUGAAGGAUGACUGCCCUACGGGUUGUAAACUUCUUUUAUCAGGGAAUAAAGUGAGCCACGUGUGCCUUUUUGUAUGUACUUUAUGAAUAAGGAUCGGCUAAAUCCGUGCCAGCAGCCGCGGUAAUACGGAGGAUUCGAGCGUUAUCCGGAUUUAUUGGGUUUAAAGGGAGCGUAGGUGGGUUGUUAAGUCAGUUGUGAAAGUUUGCGGCUCAAACGUAAAAUUGCAGUUGAUACUGGCGGUCUUGAGUAUGGGAGAGGUAGGCGGAAUGCGUGGUGUAGCGGUGAAAUGCAUAGAUAUCACGAAGAACUCCGAUUGCGAAGGCAGCUUACUAGACUGCCACUGACAUUGAGGCACGAAAGUGUGGGUAUCAAACAGGAUUAGAUACCCGUGUAGUC
RNAcentral lists this ribosomal RNA (460 nucleotides) under uncultured bacterium. Its description in RNAcentral is "partial 16S ribosomal RNA". It matches the Rfam family "Bacterial small subunit ribosomal RNA", at positions 338 to 795 of the family's 1533-position model. The record is from RNAcentral.